Molecule: ribosomal RNA, 505 nt
Filed under: uncultured bacterium
Lineage: Bacteria
Description: partial 16S ribosomal RNA
Rfam family: Bacterial small subunit ribosomal RNA
Source: RNAcentral
AGUGAACGCUGGCGGUAGGCCUAACACAUGCAAGUCGAACGGCAGCACAGGAGAGCUUGCUCUCUGGGUGGCGAGUGGCGGACGGGUGAGGAAUACAUCGGAAUCUACUUUUUCGUGGGGGAUAACGUAGGGAAACUUACGCUAAUACCGCAUACGACCUACGGGUGAAAGCAGGGGAUCUUCGGACCUUGCGCGAUUGAAUGAGCCGAUGUCGGAUUAGCUAGUUGGCGGGGUAAAGGCCCACCAAGGCGACGAGCCGUAGCUGGUCUGAGAGGAUGAUCAGCCACAGUGAACUGAGACACGGUCAAGACGCGUACGGGAGGCAGCAGUGGGGAAUAUGGAGCAAUGGGCGCAAGCCUGAUCCAGCCAUACCGCGUGGGUGAAGAAGGCCUUCGGGUUGUAAAGCCCUUUUGUUGGGAAAGAAAUCCAGCUGGCUAAUACCCGGUUGGGAUGACGGUACCCAAAGAAUAAGCACCGGCUAACUUCGUGCCAGCAGCCGCCGCAG